CAAGACCUGCAGGCUACGCCCUACAUCACCUGAAUGCAACUCAGACAUUUUACUUAAACUAAGGCCUA
Molecule: transfer RNA, 68 nt
Filed under: Trapelus agilis (brilliant ground agama)
Lineage: Eukaryota; Metazoa; Chordata; Lepidosauria; Squamata; Agamidae
Description: tRNA-Ala
Source: RNAcentral